CCAGGUUACAGUCCAAAACCACAACUUGGUUUGGCUCCAAUAUCACCUUUGCAGGACCAGCACUACAGCUCAGCUCCACAGAAUCCCCUUCCAACAGCCUCCCUUGCACGGCCAGCACAGCGAAGCAGACACAAAGCAGAUCCUCCAGCGCCAUGUAAGCCCUGCCGGGCGCCGGGAGCUGGGGCCGCCGCGACCGCAUUUACGAGGGGAGCGCGCUCUCCCGCCGCCCCACCGCCAUCUUGUGCGAGCGCCCCGGCCCCGCGCUGCCCGCCGGGCC
Molecule: long non-coding RNA, 277 nt
Filed under: Gallus gallus (chicken)
Lineage: Eukaryota; Metazoa; Chordata; Aves; Galliformes; Phasianidae
Source: RNAcentral